Long non-coding RNA from Triticum dicoccoides, 1624 nucleotides. RefSeq lists it as uncharacterized. The transcript is spliced from 5 exons. The record is from RefSeq and is a predicted model, not a curated record. Lineage: Eukaryota; Viridiplantae; Streptophyta; Magnoliopsida; Poales; Poaceae.
UUUAACCCUAUCCGCCCCGCCCCUGCCCCCAAUUUCCUCCGCCGCCGCCGUCCUCGGACCCGUCCCUGCCGCCACCGGCGGCCAUAGCCUCGAGCUCCCGCCCCUGCAUUGCCUGCCUUCCCUUGGCCUCUUCGCUGCCACCACAUGGGCAUCUUCGUUGGCCCGAGUCCCCACCGAUGGUGGUGAGAAUAUCCCAUUUCCCCUAACCCCAUCGCUGCAUGCCUUCCCCAGUGCCGCGGCCGUCGACAGCCCCGUCCGCCGGGGCCUUCACCGCCCACCGCUAGCUGAGGUCCAAGACAGCGCCCUCCUCUUGCUCCUCUCAGGGAAGGAUCUCGUCUCCAGCAAGCUCGACCAGGCGCCCACGCCGCCACCAAAAGCGCGAUGUCUUGAAAGGUUUCUGCAAAGUUCGUCUACUCGUCACCAACAGCAACGCUCACCCUCGGCGACUACAUAAGUUUGCAUAUUGGCAUGUACCCCCGUUUCUGUUGUUGUGCUAGAGGCAUGCCGCUGGCACCGAUGGGCCCUCAUUUAUCUUAUACAAUCCAUUUCAGAAUAUGACGUGGUAAGUCUGCAAAUGGAAUGGAUGGAUCCAUCAUUUUGCCAUCCUGAUGCUUGUACAGGGUUUCCUUUUUGUUGACCAGUUCAACUAGUCCAUCAUCUUAAACUAGGCUCGAGAAAUGAAGGUUCAGUUUAUGAGAAACAAUUUAAAUAUGUAUCAGCUUACUAUCUUGGCACAUGAGCUAUUUUUCAGUCAACGCGUGGCGGGUCCACUUGGAACUGAAUAGGCACUGGUCCUUCUUCUUCUUACUCUCCAUGAGCCCCUUAUACUACUGCUAUGGUUUAUGUGCCUACUUUUAACUCUGUCAACUAAAAUUGGGUUGCUUUGUUUCAGCUGAUCUGAUACUGUGGGUGGGAUCUAUAGAACAACCUUGAAAUCUGUCUGCGACCAGUCCACAUUCUGCACCACUCCCACAACUUGAACACCAAGGUCUUUGCCAUUUAAAUGGUUGAGAGAAUAAACUGGAUGGCUGACAAUCCGAGAAGGGCGUUGAACAAAGUGGUGGUAUCAUGGUCAAUUAUCUGUACAGCUGGGAACCACAACCACCAGCAUGCUGUGUGGGCAAUGGGCAGAGAGCAGAUGGCUACAUCGCUGGGAACCAUGGUCACCCACAUGCAGCAGAUAACGAAUGGUGGAUGGAAGGCUACCUCGCUGGGAACCAUGGUCACCCACAUGCAACAGAUAACGAAUGGUGGAUGGAAGGCUACCUCGCUGGGAACCAGGACCAUGACUUAUUAUGGGAAAUCGGUGGCGAACGGAUGGCUACCUCGCCGGGUACCUCAACUCCUAGGCACUUGGCCAACUGGUGCAUGGACGUGAUGACUUUGUGGCGUUUAUGGACCAAUCAACUUGUAAUCAUGGAUCUUAUGUGUCUUCUAGACCAUUUGUUGUUUUGUUAUUUCGGAGCUUGCAUUUUGUGCAUGUGGAUACAGACUUGUAUGUUCUGGACCAUCUAGUUGAAGUCUCUCAUACCAGCAAAUAGCGCUAUCUUUUUGUGACUUGUGUGUUCUGGAUGAUUGUUAAGAUGGUAAAAACUAUGCUUUGUCAAGAUUGAUGUGUUUGUCA